Molecule: ribosomal RNA, 440 nt
Filed under: uncultured bacterium
Lineage: Bacteria
Description: partial 16S ribosomal RNA
Rfam family: Bacterial small subunit ribosomal RNA
Source: RNAcentral
CCUACGGGAGGCAGCAGUGGGGAAUAUUGGACAAUGGGGGAAACCCUGAUCCAGCGACGCCGCGUGAGGGAAGAAGUAUUUCGGUACGUAAAGCUCUAUCAGCAGGAAAGAAAAUGACGGUACCUGACUACGAAGCCCCGGCUAACUACUUGCCAGCAGCCGCGGUAAUACGUAGGGGGCAAGCGUUAUCCGGAUUUACUGGGUGGAAAGGGAGCGGAGACGGCAGCGCAAGUCUGGAGUGAAAUGCCGGGGCCCAACCCAGGAAAUGCUCUUGAUACUGUUAAGCUGGAGUGCAGGAGAGGUAAGCGGAAUUCCUGGUGUAGCGGUGAAAUGCGUAGAUAUCAGGAGGAACAUCAGAGGCGAAGGCGGCUUACUGGACUAUAACUGACGUUGAGGCUCGAAGGCGUGGGGAGCAAACAGGAUUAGAUACCCGGGUAGUC